RNAcentral lists this unclassified non-coding RNA (233 nucleotides) under rhizosphere metagenome. Its description in RNAcentral is "partial ribosomal RNA internal transcribed spacer region". The record is from RNAcentral.
GUAGGUGAACCUGCGGAAGGAUCAUUAAUGAGUUGGGGUCUUCUAGGCCCGAUCUCCAACCCUUUGUAUAACUACCAUGUUGCUUUGGCGGGCCCGUCUUUAACCGGACCGCCGGGGUCUUUUGACCUCUGGCCAGUGCUCGUCAGUAGCCUACACAAAAACUCUUUUAACCAUGUUAAAUCUGAAACUAGUUAAAUAAACUAAAACUUUCAACAACGGAUCUCUUGGUUCUG